Molecule: unclassified non-coding RNA, 251 nt
Filed under: Glomus sp.
Lineage: Eukaryota; Fungi; Glomeromycota; Glomeromycetes; Glomerales; Glomeraceae
Description: partial internal transcribed spacer 2
Source: RNAcentral
GUGAAUCAUCGAAUUUUUGAACGCAAAUUGCACUCCCCUGGGUGCGUAGGAGUGUUUGAGUGUGAGCCUCUAUAAAUCGACAACGUUGCUGUUUCGCUGUGGGGUGCGUGGGAACUUGGGUCAUCUUAAAUUCUUUUGAUUUAAGCGACUUAAUAUAUUUUUUUGGUUCUAUGAACGUUUCUAAGAUCUAUUUCUUUACAAGUUUCAGGUAUCGUUUUUUACUAGCCGUGACGUUCAUAUCGGAUCGCGAC